GUAUUAUCAUUCAAUUAUAUGAUUAAUUUUCCGACUUACGCAUUCAUUAAUGUAUAUGCUUUUGUACUUUUAAAUACUAAAUUAUCAUGUUUUGAUACGGCAUACCCAUGCUUAAUCCACUGGGAGAUUAUCUUGCUUGUAAAUGGGUCGGGUUAUCGGGUCUCAUCUAGCGCACCCGGUAAAGACCAAAGGGGUCAAAGAGGGAUGGAGGGGUUCUUUCAUUCA
RNAcentral lists this long non-coding RNA (225 nucleotides) under Elaeis guineensis (African oil palm). Its description in RNAcentral is "long non-coding RNA (EGUI_LNC019803)". The record is from RNAcentral. Lineage: Eukaryota; Viridiplantae; Streptophyta; Magnoliopsida; Arecales; Arecaceae.